This 255-nucleotide ribosomal RNA is filed under the name uncultured bacterium. RNAcentral describes it as "partial 16S ribosomal RNA". It matches the Rfam family "Bacterial small subunit ribosomal RNA", at positions 524 to 776 of the family's 1533-position model. The record is from RNAcentral.
CACGUAGGGCGCGAGCGUUGUCCGGAAUUAUUGGGCGUAAAGAGCUCGUAGGCGGCCUGUUGCGUCCGCUGUGAAAGCCCGGGGCUUAACCCCGGGUCGGCAGUCGGAUACGGGCAGGCUAGAGGUAGGUAGGGGAGAAUGGAAUUCCCGGUGUAGCGGUGAAAUGCGCAGAGUAUCGGGAGGAACACCGGUGGCGAAGGCGGUUCUCUGGGCCGAUACUGACGCUGAGGAGCGAAAGCGUGGGGAGCGAACAGG